This 494-nucleotide ribosomal RNA is filed under the name uncultured bacterium. Its description in RNAcentral is "bacterial SSU rRNA". It matches the Rfam family "Bacterial small subunit ribosomal RNA", at positions 28 to 518 of the family's 1533-position model. The record is from RNAcentral.
GAUGAACGCUAGCGGCAGGCCUAAUACAUGCAAGUCGAACGGUAAAUAUUUUAGCAAUAGAAUAUGAGAGUGACGUACGGGUGCGUAACACGUAUACGACCUACCUUGUACAGGAGGAUAGCUCGGGGAAACUCGGAUUAACCCUCCGUAAUAUCAUUGGGAGGCAUCUUUUGAUGAUUAAAACUCAGGUGGUACAAGCUGGGCAUGCGUCUGAUUAGCUAGUUGGUGGGGUAACGGCUCACCAAGGCGAUGAUCAGUAGGGGAACUGAGAGGUUGAUCCCCCACACUGGCACUGAGAUACGGGCCAGACUCCUACGGGAGGCAGCAGUAGGGAAUAUUGGUCAAUGGAUGCAAGUCUGAACCAGCCAUGCCGCGUGCAGGAAGAAGGCCUUCUGGGUUGUAAACUGCUUUUGCCAGGGGCUAAAAGGCCCAUGCGUGGGAAAUUGAAAGUACCUGGUGAAUAAGCCACGGCUAACUACGUGCCAGCAGCCGAC